This 488-nucleotide ribosomal RNA is filed under the name uncultured bacterium. Its description in RNAcentral is "bacterial SSU rRNA". It matches the Rfam family "Bacterial small subunit ribosomal RNA", at positions 28 to 526 of the family's 1533-position model. The record is from RNAcentral.
GAUGAACGCUGGCGGCGUGCCUAACACAUGCAAGUCGAGCGGGGUUGUUUGGAAGCUUGCUUCGAAACAACCUAGCGGCGGACGGGUGAGUAACGCGUGGGCAACCUGCCCUGUGCAGGGGGAUAACAUGCCGAAAGGCAUGCUAAUACCCCAUAAGACUAAAAUGUCGCAUGACAAAUUAGUCAAACAUUUAUCGGCACAGGAUGGGCCCGCGUCUGAUUAGCUAGUUGGUAGGGUAACGGCCUACCAAGGCAACGAUCAGUAGCCGACCUGAGAGGGUGAUCGGCCACACUGGAACUGAGACACGGUCCAGACUCCUACGGGAGGCAGCAGUGGGGAAUAUUGCACAAUGGGGGAAACCCUGAUGCAGCAACGCCGCGUGAGCGAAGAAGGCUUUCGAGUCGUAAAGCUCUGUCCUAAGGGAAGAAUAAUGACGGUACCUUAGGAGGAAGCCCCGGCUAACUACGUGCCAGCCGCCGCCGUAACAC